UACGGGGGGGGCAAGCGUUGUUCGGAAUUACUGGGCGUAAAGGGUUCGUAGGUGGCCUGCUAAGUCAAACGUGAAAUCCCUCAGCUUAACUGGGGAACUGCGUCUGAGACUGGUGGGCUUGAGUGCAGGAGAGGAACGCAGAAUUCCAGGUGUAGCGGUGAAAUGCGUAGAUAUCUGGAGGAACACCGGUGGCGAAGGCGGCGUUCUGGACUGCUACUGACACUGAGGAACGAAAGCCAGGGGAGCAAACGGG
This 253-nucleotide ribosomal RNA is filed under the name uncultured bacterium. RNAcentral describes it as "partial 16S ribosomal RNA". It matches the Rfam family "Bacterial small subunit ribosomal RNA", at positions 524 to 776 of the family's 1533-position model. The record is from RNAcentral.